Non-coding RNA from Teratosphaeriaceae sp. CCFEE 6253, 133 nucleotides. The record is from the annotation of a GenBank genome assembly. Lineage: Eukaryota; Fungi; Ascomycota; Dothideomycetes; Mycosphaerellales; Teratosphaeriaceae.
ACCCCGCUGGCGCAAUGGCAAGCACCUCCGUUCACGCUCUCACCACCGCACAUUUACUGAUAAUGUGCAGGUAGCGCGCCAGACUUCUACAAAUGAGAUCUGGAGGUUGCGGGUUCGAGUCCCUCGUGGGGUG